RNAcentral lists this ribosomal RNA (468 nucleotides) under uncultured bacterium. RNAcentral describes it as "partial 16S ribosomal RNA". It matches the Rfam family "Bacterial small subunit ribosomal RNA", at positions 28 to 507 of the family's 1533-position model. The record is from RNAcentral.
GACGAACGCUGGCGGCGUGCUUAACACAUGCAAGUCGAACGGAAAGGCCCUGCUUUUGUGGGGUGCUCGAGUGGCGAACGGGUGAGUAACACGUGAGUAACCUGCCCUUGACUUUGGGAUAACUUCAGGAAACUGGGGCUAAUACCGGAUAGGAGCUCCUGCUGCAUGGUGGGGGUUGGAAAGUUUCGGCGGUUGGGGAUGGACUCGCGGCUUAUCAGCUUGUUGGUGGGGUAGUGGCUUACCAAGGCUUUGACGGGUAGCCGGCCUGAGAGGGGGACCGGCCACAAUGGGACUGAGAUACGGACCAGACUCCUACGGGAGGCAGCAGUGGCGAAUAUUGCACAAUGGGCGGAAGCGUGAGGCAGCAACGCCGCGGGCGGGAUGACGGCCUUCGGGUUGUAAACCGCUUUCGCCUGUGACGAAGCGUGAGUGACGGUAAUGGGUAAAGAAGCACCGGCUAACUACGUG